Molecule: ribosomal RNA, 450 nt
Filed under: uncultured bacterium
Lineage: Bacteria
Description: bacterial SSU rRNA
Rfam family: Bacterial small subunit ribosomal RNA
Source: RNAcentral
GUGGGGAAUUUUGGACAAUGGGCGAAAGCCUGAUCCAGCCAUGCCGCGUGCAGGAUGAAGGCCUUCGGGUUGUAAACUGCUUUUGUACGGAACGAAAAGACUCCUUCUAAUAAAGGGGGUCCAUGACGGUACCGUAAGAAUAAGCACCGGCUAACUACGUGCCAGCAGCCGCGGUAAUACGUAGGGUGCAAGCGUUAAUCGGAAUUACUGGGCGUAAAGCGUGCACAGGCGGUUAUAUAAGACAGAUGUGAAAUCCCCGGGCUCAACCUGGGAACUGCAUUUGUGACUGUAUAGCUAGAGUACGGUAGAGGGGGAUGGAAUUCCGCGUGUAGCAGUGAAAGGCGUAGAUAUGCGGAGGAACACCGAUGGCGAAGGCAAUCCCCUGGACCUGUACUGACGCUCAUGCACGAAAGCGUGGGGAGCAAACAGGAUUAGAUACCCGAGUAGUCC